UGGGGGAUAUUGCACAAUGGGCGAAAGCCUGAUGCAGCGACGCCGCGUGGGGGAUGAAGGCCUUCGGGUUGUAAACUUCUUUUGCUCUGAACAAGGCGCACCAUGGGGUGUGUUGAGUGUAGGGGUUGAUUAGCGCCGGCUAACUACGUGCCAGCAGCCGCGGUAAUACGUAGGGCGCGAGCGUUGUCCGGAAUUAUUGGGCGUAAAGGGCUUGUAGGUGGCUGGUUGCGUCUGUCGUGAAAGCUCAUGGCUUAACUGUGGGUUUGCGGUGGGUACGGGCUGGCUUGAGUGCAGUAGGGGAGGCUGGAAUUCCUGGUGUAGCGGUGGAAUGCGCAGAUAUCAGGAGGAAUACCGGUGGCGAAGGCGGGUCUCUGGGCUGUUACUGACACUGAGGAGCGAAAGCAUGGGGAGCGACCAGG
Molecule: ribosomal RNA, 419 nt
Filed under: bacterium
Lineage: Bacteria
Description: partial 16S ribosomal RNA
Rfam family: Bacterial small subunit ribosomal RNA
Source: RNAcentral